Molecule: long non-coding RNA, 713 nt
Organism: Numida meleagris (helmeted guineafowl)
Lineage: Eukaryota; Metazoa; Chordata; Aves; Galliformes; Numididae
Source: Ensembl
GUCUUAUUGGUAUCAGAUGUCUGGGCAGUGAGAAGUUGAGCUGUGUCUCUGCUUGAUUUUCUUUUUUAACAGAAGGAAAUCAUAAGGUGAAGUCUUGGUUCUACUAAAACCUCUGAAGCCUUUGCCAUUAAUUUCAGCCAUCAGUGUUUCACCUUGCAGCCAUGAAGUUCAAGCAAAGCUGGACAGCCUGAUUGGUGAAGGCUAACCUACAUGUGGCAUUUUGCAUGGAGCAGCAGUGGUUGGACUUGUUUUCCAGUUUGGGUAACUACCAUCUCAACUGUGCCACAGACUUCAGAGGGAGAUCUUUUCCAGCUUGGAUUCGCCAGAAGUUUGGGGCAGGAAAGCUGCUUCUGAAUAGAAAAAAUGCAGCAGGCGUUCUGAAUGCUGCCGCUGCCAAGAUGGGAGCCCUUGGACUCGAGCUGCUGUGGUGCCUGAAGUCAUCACCAGGCUGGGAGAGAGCACCAGAUGGGGAAGGAGGCUACAGCUCCUGCAGGACCCAGCAGAAAGGUCCAAAUGCAGAGGGUGCGGAAUUCAUCCACCAGCCUCUGCCAGGUUGUGAAUGCGCAGUCUGUUUCUUCUGGAAGACCCCAGGUGACGUGACAGCCCUCACCUGGUUGCUUUUGUUCUGGGGCUCCCUUGUGUCCCUUUCUCCAGAACUCCUCCCAGCUGCAGCAAGGACCUUGACAAGUUUGAGGGACGUGCAAAUAAAAUGA